AAACCAACCGGGAUUGCCUUAGUAACGGCGAGUGAAGCGGCAAAAGCUCAAAUUUGAAAUGUGGUACCUUCGGUGCCCGAGUUGUAAUUUGGAGAGGGCAACUUUGGGGCCGUUCCUCGUCUAUGUUCCUUGGAACAGGACGUCAUAGAGGGUGAGAAUCCCGUGGGCGA
Molecule: ribosomal RNA, 170 nt
Filed under: uncultured Saccharomyces
Lineage: Eukaryota; Fungi; Ascomycota; Saccharomycetes; Saccharomycetales; Saccharomycetaceae
Description: partial 26S ribosomal RNA
Rfam family: Eukaryotic large subunit ribosomal RNA
Source: RNAcentral